GACGUAGGGUGCAAGCGUUGUCCGGAAUUAUUGGGCGUAAAGAGCUCGUAGGCGGUCUGUCGCGUCGGCUGUGAAAACUCGGGGCUCAACCCCGAGCCUGCAGUCGAUACGGGCAGACUAGAGUGCGGUAGGGGAGACUGGAAUUCCUGGUGUAGCGGUGAAAUGCGCAGAUAUCAGGAGGAACACCGAUGGCGAAGGCAGGUCUCUGGGCCGAUACUGACGCUGAGGAGCGAAAGCGUGGGGAGCGAACAGG
RNAcentral lists this ribosomal RNA (253 nucleotides) under uncultured bacterium. Its description in RNAcentral is "partial 16S ribosomal RNA". It matches the Rfam family "Bacterial small subunit ribosomal RNA", at positions 524 to 776 of the family's 1533-position model. The record is from RNAcentral.